AAGACUUCUUUUGUGUCUCUUCGAUGCCAGGGAUGGAUAAAAACUGUCUUCCUGGAAAUGGCUGAUGCUAUUAUAGGAGCCUAAAUUUUAGAACCCAAACAAGUAAACAAACAAAACAAAACUCAUCUAUCACAAAGGAAAGGAGGGGCGGAGGCAGAAAACCCUAGAUGCCCAUUUUGGACUUACCUUCAAUGAAUGUAAGAGGCAACGGAAGCAGCAGGAAAAUAAAAUGUGUUCACAGCACAUCUGGAGCUAAAGUAUGGAAUGCGACUUGCGUACAGCUUUCUGGGGCCUGAACUGAGGCAUCCAAGAGACCGGCUUUGUACAACAAAGAGAAAGCAGUGAGCUCCUCCUCUCUUUCAAUUCAAGCAAUUCCUUUUGCACCGCUUUGUAAAAGAGAUCACGGUUCAUCCCUCCUCCCCCUUCCAGCUGCAAUUAAGGGAGGGGUGAAAGGUCUGCGUUAGGGAGGGACUAGCUAGCACCAAAGAACACUUUCGCCUGACUCUAUUUUCAGUGGCUGAUAAUGCUCCAAGCAGAACGCAGAAGGCACACAGGAACUCCUCAUGGACAUUUCACCAUGCACCCAGAUUCCCCCACUCUAAAUACGUUCAGAGGAAAAGCUCCAGAGUCAUCCGGGCUGCCCACAAGUUCAUGCCCAUGUGAGAUAAAUUAAGGAGAAUGCUUAGGCAAAUGUAUUUUCCCACUGCCUCCAGCUCUGUUCAAACAGCUGAAAUUCUAAAGGGAGUAAACAUGCAAUAGAUCCAGACCUCACCCAUAUGCCUAUGCUGUAAGCACAGAAGAAGCAAAGAACAAAGAACACAAUCCUGGGCUGCCAAUCCAGGCUUAAAAAGAAUGUGGAUCCAUUUCUGGAAAGCCAACCAACCAACCAACCAACCAGCCAGCCAACCAACCAGCCAACCAGCCAACUAGCCAACCAACAUAAAAAGUUUGUUUGGAAAACAGAGGAACAUCUCCAUUUACUGUAUAACCUGCUGUUUCAAGAAUGGCACAGGUUCCUAUUGCACAGCUCUUCAGAACUUCAGGUCUUCAACAGCGCACCCAUCACUGCUGUAAUCCUGUCCGUCCAGUGGUGGGUUGCCCCCGGUUAGGACCGGUUCACAAGAACCAGUAGUAAAACCGGCGGGAGGCCCACCCACCGCCCUGG
Pantherophis guttatus is the source of this 1165-nucleotide non-coding RNA. The record is from RefSeq and is a predicted model, not a curated record. NCBI's taxonomy places the organism in Eukaryota, Metazoa, Chordata, Lepidosauria, Squamata, Colubridae.